UGAACUGNCAAGCUAGAGUGUGUCAGAGGGGGGUAGAAUUCCACGUGUAGCAGUGAAAUGCGUAGAGAUGUGGAGGAAUACCGAUGGCGAAGGCAGCCCCCUGGGAUAACACUGACGUUCAUGCUCGAAAGCGUGGGUAGCAGACAGGAUUAGAUACCCUGGUAGUCCACGCCCUAAACGAUGUCAAUUAGCUGUUGGGCAACUUGAUUGCUUAGUAGCGUAGCUAACGCGUGAAAUUGACCGCCUGGGGAGUACGGUCGCAAGAUUAAAACUCAAAGGAAUUGACGGGGACCCGCACAAGCGGUGGAUGAUGUGGAUUAAUUCGAUGCAACGCGAAGAACCUUACCUGGUCUUGACAUGUACGGAAUCUCUCAGAGACGGGAGAGUGCCUUCGGGAACCGUAACACAGGUGCUGCAUGACUGUCGUCAGCUCGUGUCGUGAGAUGUUGGGUUAAGUCCCGCAACGAGCGCAACCCUUGUCAUUAGUUGCCAUCAUUUAGUUGGGCACUCUAAUGAGACUGCCGGUGACAAACCGGAGGAAGGUGGGGAUGAUGUCAAGUCCUCAUGGCCCUUAUGACCAGGGCUUCACACGUCAUACAAUGGUCGGUACAGAGGGUCGCCAAGCCGCGAGGUGGAGCCAAUCUCACAAAACCGAUCGUAGUCCGGAUUGCACUCUGCAACUCGAGUGCAUGAAGUCGGAA
This 701-nucleotide ribosomal RNA is filed under the name uncultured bacterium. Its description in RNAcentral is "bacterial SSU rRNA". It matches the Rfam family "Bacterial small subunit ribosomal RNA", at positions 629 to 1331 of the family's 1533-position model. The record is from RNAcentral.